This 69-nucleotide transfer RNA is filed under the name Scopula lactea. RNAcentral describes it as "tRNA-Val". The record is from RNAcentral. Lineage: Eukaryota; Metazoa; Arthropoda; Insecta; Lepidoptera; Geometridae.
CAAAUUAGAGCUUGGUAAGUAUUUCAUUUACAUUGAAAGGAUAUUAAUGAUAUUAAUUAAUUAAUUUGA